UAUUUUAUAUAUUUUCUUAUUUAUUCCAAACUCUCUCUUUUUCUUCACAUUUUUAAAUUUUUAAACAUCUCUAUUAUUAUUAUUUUUUAUUUACAUAUUUUCGUAUUUUUUUUAUUUUUUUUUAUUAUUUUUUAUGAUAUUCUUUCCUAAUAUGAUUUAAAAUUCAUUCUACAACAUUAAUAUACCUUAUUUAUAUUAUUUUACUACCCUUAACAUAAAGCUACAUAAAAAAAA
Molecule: long non-coding RNA, 234 nt
Filed under: Theobroma cacao (cacao)
Lineage: Eukaryota; Viridiplantae; Streptophyta; Magnoliopsida; Malvales; Malvaceae
Description: long non-coding RNA (TCAC_LNC006426)
Source: RNAcentral